Long non-coding RNA from Girardinichthys multiradiatus, 631 nucleotides. RefSeq lists it as uncharacterized. The transcript is spliced from 2 exons. The record is from RefSeq and is a predicted model, not a curated record. NCBI's taxonomy places the organism in Eukaryota, Metazoa, Chordata, Actinopteri, Cyprinodontiformes, Goodeidae.
UGCUUGCAACAUUGCCUCAGUGUUUCAGAUGGUGCUGGAGUUCUCAGGUGUGCUGGGGGACAGGUGCGACUUAUUCUGCUGAUUGCUUGGAGGAGUACUUUAGCAGGAGGCUGCCUGCACUUUGACGCAAGAGUGUUUGCCUACUGUGGUAACAAGCUCAGCCAAUGCUAAGUCUAUGCUUUGUGUUUCGUUCUGGAAUAACUUUGUUUAUAUCCCUUCGCAGACUAAGAAUCUGAACUUUGAAUUUAUGUCACUGGACAACUGACUUUGUGUCCAGGAGUUUUCUGGAUGACCAAGAUUAUCUACGUUCUGAGGACUUCGUUUCCUAACUAUUGUUCCCGUCUGGAUUACCGACCAAGCUGGCAGUUUUGUGCUUCCUCCAUCUCCAGGAUCUAAGCCUAAGCGUACCCUGUCCACCUUCCAACCCAAGUAUCAGCACAAACGAACUAACUAAAUCAUCUCCACGCUCACCCAAGAAGCACCUAAGAAACCAACUGAACAAACAAUGCUACGACAACUUGGAUCCCGAAUCCCUCUACCCCUGGCGACCUGACCGCACCCACUUAUUGGAGUUUCGCCCGUUUUCGUUCCUGAUUAUUUUGUGGCACAAUAAAUAUCAUUUCACUCUUUC